This 253-nucleotide ribosomal RNA is filed under the name uncultured bacterium. RNAcentral's name for it is "partial 16S ribosomal RNA". It matches the Rfam family "Bacterial small subunit ribosomal RNA", at positions 524 to 776 of the family's 1533-position model. The record is from RNAcentral.
UACGUAGGGGGCGAGCGUUGUCCGGAUUUAUUGGGCGUAAAGAGCGUGUAGGCGGCCAGGUAGGUCUGCUGUGAAAACUCGAGGCUCAACCUCGAGACGUCGGCGGAAACCAUCUGGCUAGAGUCCGGAAGAGGAGAGUGGAAUUCCUGGUGUAGCGGUGAAAUGCGCAGAUAUCAGGAAGAACACCCGUGGCGAAGGCGGCUCUAUGGGACGGUACUGACGCUGAGACGCGAAAGCGUGGGGAGCGAACAGG